UGUUGUGAAAUGUUGGGUUAAGUCCCGCAACGAGCGCAACCCUUAUCCUUUGUUGCCAGCGGUCCGGCCGGGAACUCAAAGGAGACUGCCAGUGAUAAACUGGAGGAAGGUGGGGAUGACGUCAAGUCAUCAUGGCCCUUACGACCAGGGCUACACACGUGCUACAAUGGCGCAUACAAAGAGAAGCGACCUCGCGAGAGCAAGCGGACCUCAUAAAGUGCGUCGUAGUCCGGAUUGGAGUCUGCAACUCGACUCCAUGAAGUCGGAAUCGCUAGUAAUCGUGGAUCAGAAUGCCACGGUGAAUACGUUCCCGGGCCUUGUACACACCGCCCGUCACACCAUGGGAGUGGGUUGCAAAAGAAGUAGGUAGCUUAACCUUCGGGAGGGCGCUUACCACUUUGUGAUUCAUGACUGGGGUGAAGUCGUAACAAGGUAACCGUAGGGGAACCUGC
This 452-nucleotide ribosomal RNA is filed under the name Salmonella enterica. RNAcentral describes it as "bacterial SSU rRNA". It matches the Rfam family "Bacterial small subunit ribosomal RNA", at positions 1063 to 1515 of the family's 1533-position model. Lineage: Bacteria; Pseudomonadati; Pseudomonadota; Gammaproteobacteria; Enterobacterales; Enterobacteriaceae. The record is from RNAcentral.